RNAcentral lists this ribosomal RNA (397 nucleotides) under uncultured bacterium. Its description in RNAcentral is "partial 16S ribosomal RNA". It matches the Rfam family "Bacterial small subunit ribosomal RNA", at positions 523 to 918 of the family's 1533-position model. The record is from RNAcentral.
AUACGUAGGUGACAAGCGUUAUCCGGAUUUACUGGGCGUAAAGGGCGUGUAGGCGGUCUUGCAAGUCAGAAGUGAAAUUCCUGGGCUCAACCCGGGCGCUGCUUCUGAAACUGCCGGACUUGAGUGCUGGAGGGGAUAGCGGAAUUCCUAGUGGAGCGGUAAAAUGCGCAGAUAUUAGGAGGAACACCGGUGGCGAAGGCGGCUAUCUGGACAGUAACUGACGCUGAGGCGCGAAAGCGUGGGGAGCAAACAGGAUUAGAUACCCGGGUAGUCCACGCCGUAAACGAUGAAUACUAGGUGUAGGGGGUAUCGACUCCCUCUGUGCCGCAGUUAACACAAUAAGUAUUCCGCCUGGGGAGUACGGCCGCAAGGUUGAAACUCAAAUGAAUUGACGGGG